RNAcentral lists this ribosomal RNA (251 nucleotides) under uncultured bacterium. RNAcentral's name for it is "partial 16S ribosomal RNA". It matches the Rfam family "Bacterial small subunit ribosomal RNA", at positions 524 to 773 of the family's 1533-position model. The record is from RNAcentral.
UACAGAGACCUCAAGCAUUAUCCGGAUUUAUUGGGCGUAAAGGGUCCGCAGGUGGUUUGGUGCGUCAUCGGUUAAAUCUACGGGCUCAACCCGUAACCGACCGGUCGAUACGGCCAGACUAGAGGGUGGGAGAGGUGAGCAGAAUUACGGGUGUAGUAGUAAAAUGCGUUAAUAUCCGUAAGAAUACCAAAUGCGAAGGCAGCUCACUGGAACACACCUGACACUCAGGGACGAAAGCGUGGGUAGCGAAA